Molecule: long non-coding RNA, 623 nt
Filed under: Cyanistes caeruleus (blue tit)
Lineage: Eukaryota; Metazoa; Chordata; Aves; Passeriformes; Paridae
Description: lncRNA (ENSCCEG00000006854.1)
Source: RNAcentral
CCCCUGCUGCCUUGUCGCCUGUGGCCCUGUGACAGCCAGAAACUCACCCCACCUCUCUGAAAAGAGCGGAGAUCCGGGAGAGAGAAACUCCUCUGUGGUGGGCUUUCAGCUCCCCCCACUAGCAUAUCAGCCAGCAUCAAGAUCUGCACCCUGGCAUCAGUUUUCCUGGCACAGUGCUUUUAGAAAUCACACCUGCCCCUGUGAGGUGCUCUGUGAGUGCAGUCUGAGAGAAGGAAAAGAGAACUGGAAAGCUCCACACACAUUGUGGCUUUCACAUCUCCUGUCCUGCUGCAUUCCUGUGCCUGGAAUCGUGUUUGUCCUGUGUGUGACGAGUGGAUUAUGCUGUACUUCUGUCUGGACACUGGGACAUGAGAGAAAUAAGAGAUGCCUGAAGGGAAGCAAGAAUGGAAAGCAUCCUUAAAAUGACUGAUUUACAGUUGGUCUCGUGAGACUUCUUCAGGCUCUCUUCUUGUUUGCUGCUGUACAUCUGGACUGAGAGUCAUGCAAGAUGGCAGGUGUAAGUUGCUCUUGGAGAUGCAACACACAGCAUGCAAGACAAACACUUCCUUUCCUUUUUCCACCAGCAGAAUAAAAAAAACUUUGGGCCACGCUCUUGUGCUCUU